This is a long non-coding RNA of Cydia strobilella, 143 nucleotides long. RefSeq lists it as uncharacterized. The transcript has 2 exons. NCBI's taxonomy places the organism in Eukaryota, Metazoa, Arthropoda, Insecta, Lepidoptera, Tortricidae. The record is from RefSeq and is a predicted model, not a curated record.
AUAGUCGGGUCCACACAGAACGAGCAUACGCGCGAGGCAAUUUCCUCGCGAACAAACCGGCCAGUGUAGACGUGCCUCGGCCGAGGCGCGCGUGUUGAAAUUGCCUCGCGGGUAUGCUCGCUCUGUGUGGACCCGGCUGAUGA